Molecule: transfer RNA, 72 nt
Filed under: Bos taurus (domestic cattle)
Lineage: Eukaryota; Metazoa; Chordata; Mammalia; Artiodactyla; Bovidae
Also listed under: 5 other names
Rfam family: tRNA
About the family: Transfer RNA (tRNA) molecules are approximately 80 nucleotides in length.
Source: Rfam by way of RNAcentral
UCCCUGGUGGCUCAGUAGUAAAGAAUCUGCCUGCCAAUGCAGGAGAUGCAGGUUUGAUCCCUGGCCUGGGAA